Molecule: long non-coding RNA, 2433 nt
Filed under: Daucus carota (carrot)
Lineage: Eukaryota; Viridiplantae; Streptophyta; Magnoliopsida; Apiales; Apiaceae
Description: long non-coding RNA (DCAR_LNC005657)
Source: RNAcentral
UCGUUACUGUCCAUAACACUACUGCAAUGUCAAUGUCAAUAUUCUUUUUAAAACCAAAACAAGUCCACCCAAGUAUUGUGAUAAACAUCUUUUUUAAAUAAUAUUAAAUCUUAAUGCCCUCGGCCGGCAAAAACUCAUACCGGAAAACCUAUUUGAUAGCAAGCCAAGGUCUUCCAAAGCACUGGUCAUCAAAAACUUAAACAUUAUUAUCAGGAAAAGAAGAAACUAAAUUUAGUGGGAACUCUCUCAAUGCAUAUCAUUCAUCUUAUCAUAAUCCAGCAACAAAGAGCUAAUCUACUAUUUGAUACUAGUAGAAUUCAUACGAAGUCGAGAAAGAUGGAGAGAAAUGUGAGCAAAUGAGCUAAGCUGUUCAAUACUGUUUGAAUCUCCACCAAAGAGCAAGUGUGCUGCACUCUCCCGUAACCCGGUUUUAUUUUCCUCAAUCAUGGUCAAGUUGUACAUUUACAGAACUUUGAGGGUCGAUUUAUCGAGUUUUUUUUCUUCGAUUGUCGCUGUGUUCAAAGAGGUAAACUUGGAUGGUUUCUACAAAUUUAAGCCUAUUUUUUACCUAUUUCUAAAAAUAGAAAGUCUUUUAGAUAUUUAUUAUCAGACUGGCAAGCAUAGUCCUGACGAUUUUUUGACCCGCUAUUGAGUACUAUUAGAUUAAUUUACUUUUGAUAAUAUUCAACUAAUAUUUGGUUGUGUUUACGAAAUAUUUAAUAUUUUUGAUAAUAUUCAACUUGUUGUAAAUCUUGUAAUUAUAUACUAUUAAACUAUACAACGAUAGGACAGAAACUAUCUUAUAAAGUAUAAAGAGAAUAGGAGAUGGGGAGAGAAAGUAGUUGUAUUUCAGAAUAUUUCAGAAUAGAAUUCAUUUCAACUGAACCAGCUAUUUAUAGAGGUUGGUUGAUGAAUCUUCCUAACUAUGAUUUGCAAUACUUCUAGGUUAGUAUUACGAUUCUUCUCGAGUAAGUAUCGUAAGUCUUCCUCGAUAAGCUAUACGAGUCUUCCUUAGUAAGUUUUGCCAGACUUCCUUGAUAAGCUUUGCGAGUCUUCCUUAGUAAGUUUCACCAGACUUCCUUGAUAAGAUUUGCGAGUAUUCUUGACUAAGUUUUUGACAAUCACAUAAUAUAUUAUUUUAUAACACAACUAAAAUAGUUGGAGAUCAAUUUACGGGAUUUGUGUUUAUGUAUUGAAAGCAUCGCAUACUAGAAACAGGGAGCUUACUCUGUAGCAUGAUAUUUUCCAUGACAUUUCCCGCAACUCAGGUCAGUAAGUUAUUAAGAAUCAUUUGCUCAAUAUUUUGUUUCCAGAGGUCCAUUUUCUCCAGUAGAUCUAAAUGAAUAAAACUGUUUUCUGUUAAAUUCCAUUUUACAGUAAUGGAAUUUCUGUUCUUAGCAGAAGCUAGUUGAUCUGAUACAAUUUUUUCAGCAACAAUCCUUAAAUACAGUAAUGAACAUUAUUAGCAGAGUAAACAUACAAGGAUAGAGGAGGUGACUCCUGUUUAUGCGAUAAGCAUAACAAGUUUGCAGGAAAUUUAAAACUAGAAUUUAUAAAUGUCUUUCAGAUAUUCUUGUUCUUCAAAAGAAGAACAAGUUUGUCCAAAUUAAGGGAAGAUGAGCCAUCUGGCGCACAAGCCUUCUUUGCCAAAUUCUUCCAUUCUGUUGCCUUGUUUCUCAUUUUCUUACCCUCUGCUCCAUCCAUUAGUACAGUUAAACCUCUUUAAAGUAAUACCUCUCGGACCGGGAAAAAAUAUUACUUUACCGAAUUUAUUAUUUUAUCGAUAUAAUAAUAAUUUAUUACUUUAUCGAUAAAGUAAUAUUUUAUUAUUUUACCAAAUUUCUAUAUGUUUAAAAAUUAUAAUUCAUUAUUUUUAAAAACAAGAUUCAGUCAAAUGCAAUGUAUUUGAUUUAAAAUUACUUUUAUAAUAAUUAAUCAUAUGUGAAAACUAAAUUAAUGCAUGCACUAGAUAGAGUACACAUGUUACAACAUGAGCAAAACAUACCGGAGUUAUUUAUCCUUUACAUAAAGUCAAGGAUGAGGUUAAUUUUUGCCUUGGUGGAAAGAAGAAACAAGCUACUGUAGAUUCAUAUUUUAAAAAGGAUUGAAUUAUGAAUUCAUAUAUAUUGAUUCAUAUUUUAAAAAGAGCUAAAAUCUGUAAUUCAUAUACAUCACACACACACACAUAUAUAUAAUUCAUGAAUUAUUACUUUACAUAUUACCUGGGCCUUUAAUGAAUCUCUAAAUUUUUAUUAUCUUAUACGUUUAGCGAAAAUAUUACUUUACGACAUUGGCCAAAGUUGGGACCGACAAAAUUUAUUACUUAAGCGAGGUUAUUACUUUAUUGGAUAUUACUUAGUUGAGGUUUAACUGUAGUCUAACAAGUUUCUCCACAUCAUCUCGCUUGACGUUAUUAGGAAUCUCCAAUCCGCA